RNAcentral lists this ribosomal RNA (963 nucleotides) under wastewater metagenome. RNAcentral describes it as "bacterial SSU rRNA". It matches the Rfam family "Bacterial small subunit ribosomal RNA", at positions 523 to 1520 of the family's 1533-position model. The record is from RNAcentral.
AUACGUAGGGUGCAAGCGUUAUCCGGAUUUAUUGGGCGUAAAGUGUUGCGUAGGCUGAUUUGCGCAUUUUGUUUAAAAGGCUAAGGCUUAACCUUAGUUUUGGGCAAAAUAUGGCAAAUCUUGAUGGUUUAAGAGGGUACUGGAACUUAACAUGUAGCAGUGAAAUGCGUUGAUAUGUUAAGGAACACCAAAGGCGUAGGCAGGUACCUGGGAAACUCAUGACGCUGAGGCACGACAGCUUGGGGAGCGAAGCAGAUUAGAGACCUGCGUAGUCCAAGCCGUAAACGAUGGAUGCUAGUUAGUCCCUUUUUUGGGACCGACGUAAGGUAACCCGUUAAGCAUCCCGCCUGGGGAGUACGAGCGCAAGCUUAAAACUCAAAGGAAUUGACGGGGAGGCGCACAAGCAGUGGAGCAUGUGGUUUAAUUCGAUACGAAGCGAAAAACCUCACCAGGGUUUGACAUGUACUUGCUAAGCCUAAGAAACUAGGCCUCCUUCGAGGGUAGUACACAGAUGCUGCAUGGCUGUCGUCAGCUCGUGGCGUGAGCUGUACCGUUAAGUCGGGUAACGAGCGCAACCCGCAUCAUAUGUUAAAUGUUCAUAUGAAACAGCCCCACUUUGUGGGGAGGAAGGCGCGGAUGACGUCAAGUCAGCACGGCUCUUACACCCUGGGCUACACACAUCCUACAAUGGCGAAAAACAACGAGCUGCAAGCCAGUAAUGGCAAGCUAAUCUCUGAAAUUUCGCCCCAGUUCAGAUUGAGGGCUGCAAUUCGCCCUCAUGAAGUCGGAAUUGCUAGUAAUCGCGAAUCAGCAGGUCGCGGUGAAUACGUUCUCGCCUCUUGUACACACCGCCCGUCAAGGCAGCAAAGUUGGGGGCGCCCGAACUCCUUUUAUUAGGAGGAAGGCGAAACCAGCGAUGAAGCUUAAGUCGUAACAAGGUAUCCCUAGCCGAAGCUGGGGAUG